CAGUCGCCGCGGGAAAACGAAGGGGGCUAGCGUUGUUCGGAUUAACUGGGCGUAAAGGGUGCGUAGGCGGGCUUUUAAGUCAGGGGUGAAAUCCCAAGGCUCAACCUUGGAACUGCCUUUGAUACUGGAAGUCUUGAGUCCGGGAGAGGUGAGUGGAACUGCGAGUGUAGAGGUGAAAUUCGUAGAUAUUCGCAAGAACACCAGUGGCGAAGGCGGCUCACUGGCCCGGUACUGACGCUGAGGCACGAAAGCGUGGGGAGCAAACAGGAUUAGAUACCCCCGUAGUCCCUGUCUCUUAUAA
This 301-nucleotide ribosomal RNA is filed under the name uncultured bacterium. Its description in RNAcentral is "partial 16S ribosomal RNA". It matches the Rfam family "Bacterial small subunit ribosomal RNA", at positions 509 to 809 of the family's 1533-position model. The record is from RNAcentral.